CACACACACACACACACACACACACACACACAGGAAAGCUAGCCCCAGCUUUAACCAGCCACACAGGAAGCAGGGCCACUUUUCCCAUUGCUGACCCGGUGUCUCCGUUGUCUGGACCUGUGAUGUUGACUACCGAAGGCACGCAGACUCAAAGAGCACAGAAAGACAAACCCUGGCUCCCAGUUCUUCUCCUUGGCACCUCCACCAGCAAACCCUAGUACAAAAAGCAUUAACUUUGCUUUUCUCUAAGACCUCAGAACUUAAAUUUGGGUGCUUUCUUAGUUUGAAAGGUGCAGAUUUGUAAACACAUCUCCGUGUCUAGUUUGUGACAACAAGCCCACAUGUUACUUACCAACCCAAUAUAUGUUUAUAACAAUGCAUGUAGCAUUCUUAAGUUCUUCUAUAUAUGUUGAAAUAGAUGUCUGUGUUGUCCCAAACUAGUCAUGCUGUGAUGAUCUGUCACAAAACAAAAGGUGCAAAAAGUAAAACAUGACUAAGGUAAAUCAUUCUUCUAUUUAUAUCUCUUACAUACAUUUAUACAGCCAUCUGUUUGUUUUUUGAAUUUGUCCUUUACAGACCCCCCACAACUGGGUUAAAGUGAAUAAAGUGGCCUGCUGAAUGUAGGAAACAAAAAGGUUACGCCAAAACUCUUUAAACUUUGUUUUUGGAUCUUUUAAGUGGGAUUAUAGAGGCAAAGAAAACACUUGGUAAUGUUUGACACAAUUUCCCGACAUAUCUACGUAUACAGUAUUUUACACUCAGUUAUUAUUUAUUUGACAAACGGGAUUUCCGUUGCUACUUCCCAUCCUUUAUAUCAUGAAAGAAUAUAGUCAGUAAUGCAGAGAUCAGACAAGAAUAUUCUUGCUGACAAUAAUCCCUCUUCCUCAGCCUUUUCUGAGAUACUGUUGAGAGUUUUUGUCUGAAUGCAGCAAUAUUGUGAAACCAAAUAUGUGUGGAUUCAAUGCUCACGGGAGACGGGGGAGGGGAAAACACCUGAAAUCAGAAGGCAGGGACGCAAGAUUCUCAUCACACAACUGCCAACCUUUGACAACAACUUUUCCUCUGAGUUUAUCAACAUCUUACAAGUAUUUUUGUACAGCUUCAGUGAGUGUACAGUCCGUCUGCUUUGUGAAUUUCUACGUCCUGAGUGUGUGAAAUCCAGGCUUGUAUAGUUUACAUCCAGUCGCAACCAUCUACCUUGUUUCCCUGUUUCUGGUGAUAGAAGCACAGCGAAACUCAGAGCUUGACUCGCUAACUGUGUGUGCGUGUGUGUGUGUGUGUGUGUGUGUGUGUGUGUGUGUGUGUGUGUGUGUGACAGAGAGUAAUACUGACCAUGUAUCAUUGAAAGAAUAGAGUUAACAAAAUGGUUUUUCUGCUGUUUUUUUGUUUUUGUUUUCUUAACUAGGCCAGAGCGAAGCACAAACAUCUGGUCAUGUGCACCAGGUGAAGCUCACUCAUUGGCUGAACACACAGAUGUCUAAUUGGCUUUAAUUGGGGCACAACCAGGUGAGAGUCUGUAAUUGACUAAGCACACUUGAAUCUUCUGGGUGGACUGCAUUUUAUUAUAUGGAAAACACAUAUGUGUCAUAUAAAUACAAAAUUCUACUUUUGAAAUGUUUUUUUCCCGUAUGAUGUAAGCGCAGAAUAAAAACUCAGACAUGAGCUGUUGCUACAGGCUCUCCACAGACUUACAGAAAACAAGCACAACGUGUCUGUGUCAUUUGCAGAUACCGAAUCUGACUCAAAAGUGCAGUGCAAUGCCACAAGUGUAAUGGUCUGAAAAGGUUGUUACAUUAGUUUGUCCAUGUAAUUAUUUUCCGUGUAAUACUUCAUACUGAAACUGAAAAAGAGGGGUAGCAAAUUUUGGUUGCAAAAAAAAAAAAAGUUUAAAUGAAUGUUUUCAUGUUUUUCUUUUAUUUGAAGUGGAGGUGUCCUGUCACUGAGGAGACAAAAGCACAAGCAGUUUGUACCUUGUAAAGGUUUCUUUUCUCCCCACUAUUCGAUUGUUUGUGUGUGGGGGGGGGGGGGAACUCGACCACUACCCUUAAACUGUGAAGGAAAGCAUGCAAAACCAUGAAAGGGAAAUAGACUUUACAAAGUGAUUACAGCAUGGUCUGCAAUCCUCUCCUUGCUGCUGGCAGUGCAGCAUGGGUAGUCCUGUGCGUCUAGAGCAACAGAAACCAAAAACACUCUACAAUUUAGAAUAAGAACACACACACACACACACACACACACACACACACACACACACAGUAAAAGACUAGGGCUAGUCUGACAGAUAUCGCUUUGAUUCUUUACAUUUUAAGUUCAGUUUAAUUGACCAUUUUUGUCUGUUUUUUUAAUCCUCUUUCAAGUGUACACAGCUAGGCUUAUUGUGAGGCUUUUUUAAAACAGUUUUUUUUGGUUCAGCCGAGUAAAAAUGCCAUGUAAUGCAAUGUUUUUUUUGACUAAAUGUCAAAUUUCUGCAGAAGAAUUAGCUAUUCGAAGCUUCAAUACAAACAUAAUCUGCAUCGGCCUUUAAAACCUGUCAGUCACAUCCUAGAAAUGCCUAGACACACACACACACACACACACACACAUACACACACACAAAGUAGGUACAUCAGGCAGACCAAUCCGUAUUUUGGUCUCUUCCUUACUUUCUUAUGAGUACAAUGAGCCUGCUAGUUGUUUUUCUCUCAGCUCUGCUUCGUUUGAUUCAAUGACAAAAAACCAGCAGAUUCCACAACAGCUGUGCACAAACCCGAGCGAGGUUCCUCUCCUCUGUUUGUACGAGGACUCUAAUUUCUACUGAGUCAAACUUAAGCACAAGUCUUCAUUUGUGUCUGGGAUCAAAGGAUCUCGCCGGUCUUAUUUAGUUUUCACGAGAUUGAUGCUGUGAGGAGGAGAAGAGUUUACAACAGGACAAACAUCAGGAAUAAAAA
Long non-coding RNA from Etheostoma cragini (Arkansas darter), 2924 nucleotides. RefSeq lists it as uncharacterized. The record is from RefSeq and is a predicted model, not a curated record. The transcript is spliced from 2 exons. Lineage: Eukaryota; Metazoa; Chordata; Actinopteri; Perciformes; Percidae.